GACGAACGCUGGCGGCGUGCUUAACACAUGCCAGUCGAACGGAAAGGCCCUGCUUUUGUGGGGUGCUCGAGUGGCGAACGGGUGAGUAACACGUGAGUAACCUGCCCUUGACUUUGGGAUAACUUCAGGAAACUGGGGCUACUACCAGAUAGGAGCUCCUGCUGCAUGGUGGGGGUUGGAAAGUUUCGGCGGUUGGGGAUGGACUCGCGGCUUAUCAGCUUGAUGGUGGGGUAGUGGCUUACACAGGCUUUGACGGGUCGCCGGCCUGAGAGGGUGACCGGCGACAUUGGGACUGAGAUACGGCCCAGACUCCAACGGGAGGCAGCAGUGGGGAAUAUUGCACAAUGGGCGGAAGCCUGAUGCAGCAACGCCGCGUGCGGGAUGACGGCCUUCGGGUUGUAAACCGCUUUCGCCUGUGACGAAGCGUGAGUGACGGUAAUGGGUAAAGAAGCACCGGCUAACUACGUG
This 468-nucleotide ribosomal RNA is filed under the name uncultured bacterium. RNAcentral describes it as "partial 16S ribosomal RNA". It matches the Rfam family "Bacterial small subunit ribosomal RNA", at positions 28 to 507 of the family's 1533-position model. The record is from RNAcentral.